RNAcentral lists this unclassified non-coding RNA (269 nucleotides) under plant metagenome. RNAcentral describes it as "partial contains small subunit ribosomal RNA, internal transcribed spacer 1, and 5.8S ribosomal RNA". The record is from RNAcentral.
UUUCCGAAGGUGAACCUGCGGAAGGAUCAUUAAUGAGUUGUCAUGGGGUUCGAUGCUGGCAUCCAAUUUUUGGAUGCAUGUGCUUGCCCUAACAAUCAUCUUCCAAACACCUGUGCACAUUUUUGAGGGAGUCUUGAUUUGGUUGCCGCUCUUGGGUGAUUUUCUCACAUUCCCUUAAAUCAUUAUACGCUAUUAACAAUGUUGAACGUGCUCUGUGCCGCAAGGCUAUUAAUAUAAUACAACUUUUAACAACGGAUCUCUUGGCUCUC